RNAcentral lists this ribosomal RNA (253 nucleotides) under uncultured bacterium. RNAcentral describes it as "partial 16S ribosomal RNA". It matches the Rfam family "Bacterial small subunit ribosomal RNA", at positions 524 to 776 of the family's 1533-position model. The record is from RNAcentral.
UACGUAUGGUGCAAGCGUUGUCCGGAAUUAUUGGGCGUAAAGAGCUCGUAGGCGGUUUGUUGCGUCGGCUGUGAAAUCCCGAGGCUCAACCUCGGGUCUGCAGUCGAUACGAGCAAACUAGAGUGUUGCAGGGGAGACUGGAAUUCCUGGUGUAGCGGUGAAAUGCGCAGAUAUCAGGAGGAACACCGGUGGCGAAGGCGGGUCUCUGGGCAACAACUGACGCUGAGGAGCGAAAGCGUGGGGAGCGAACAGG